RNAcentral lists this ribosomal RNA (399 nucleotides) under uncultured marine eukaryote. RNAcentral's name for it is "bacterial SSU rRNA". The record is from RNAcentral.
UGCUGCUGUUAAAAAGCUCGUAGUUGGAUCAAGAGUACAACAGUGCACGGUGGCCUCGUUUGUGUCCGUGGCUCCGGUCGCUGGCACGGCGGCGGAUCAACCCCUUGCAUUAAACUGUUGUCUCUAACAGGCCGAAGCGGUUCCCUGUGAGUAGGCCACUUCAUUGGGGCUGAAAGCGCUUACGCAUCAACCAUAUGCAUACGGGACGUCGGUCAAAGUUACUGUGAACAAACCAGCGUGUCCAAAACAGGUCGUAGUGCCUGAAUGUUCGAGCAUGGAAUAACAAGGGAUCGAUUCUCUCGGUUCUUUUUGUUGGUUUUUAACCCGAGAAGGAGUAAUUCAGGCCACGGUGUCUGAGUUGGGUUUCCCUUCACCUCGGUGGAGGCCCCAAUUAGGCCG